This 44-nucleotide non-coding RNA is filed under the name Schistosoma curassoni. Lineage: Eukaryota; Metazoa; Platyhelminthes; Trematoda; Strigeidida; Schistosomatidae. The record is from RNAcentral.
AGCAGCUGACGAGUCCGAAAUAGGACAAAACGCGCAUCCUGUAU